Molecule: ribosomal RNA, 468 nt
Filed under: uncultured bacterium
Lineage: Bacteria
Description: partial 16S ribosomal RNA
Rfam family: Bacterial small subunit ribosomal RNA
Source: RNAcentral
GACGAACGCUGGCGGCGUGCUUAACACAUGCAAGUCGAACGGAAAGGCCCUGCUUUUGUGGGGUGCUCGAGUGGCGAACGGGUGAGUAACACGUGAGUAACCUGCCCUUGACUUUGGGAUAACUUCAGGAAACUGGGGCUAAUACCGGAUAGGAGCUCCUGCUGCAUGGUGGGGGUUGGAAAGUUUCGGCGGUUGGGGAUGGACUCGCGGCUUAUCAGCUUGUUGGUGGGGUAGUGGCUUACCAAGGCUUUGACGGGUAGCCGGCCUGAGAGGGUGACCGGCCACAUGGGUACUGAGGUACGGCCCAGACUCCUACGGGAGGCAGCAGUGGGGAAUAUUGCACAAUGGGCGGAAGCCUGAUGCAGCAACGCAGCGUGCGGGAUGACGGCCUUCGGGUUGUAAACCGCUUUCGCCUGUGACGAAGCGUGAGUGACGGUAAUGGGUAAAGAAGCACCGGCUAACUACGUG